RNAcentral lists this transfer RNA (76 nucleotides) under Halorhodospira neutriphila. Its description in RNAcentral is "tRNA-His". It matches the Rfam family "tRNA". From Rfam's summary of the family: Transfer RNA (tRNA) molecules are approximately 80 nucleotides in length. Their secondary structure includes four short double-helical elements and three loops (D, anti-codon, and T loops). Lineage: Bacteria; Pseudomonadati; Pseudomonadota; Gammaproteobacteria; Chromatiales; Ectothiorhodospiraceae. The record is from RNAcentral.
GUGAGCGUAGCUCAGCCGGUAGAGCACCGGAUUGUGGCUCCGGAGGUCGUGGGUUCGAGUCCCGCCGCUCACCCCA